Non-coding RNA from Spodoptera litura, 423 nucleotides. NCBI's taxonomy places the organism in Eukaryota, Metazoa, Arthropoda, Insecta, Lepidoptera, Noctuidae. The record is from RefSeq and is a predicted model, not a curated record.
ACAGUUCACCACAGCUUUCGAGAAUAGACGAGUGACGACGGCAGCGAAUCAGCGAAAAGCAUGAAUUUUUGAAUUCUUUUAAUCAAAUUUGACUGUGCUUGCCAGACAAGACAUUUUACUACACAUUCGAAUAGUGUCGAAGAUCUGACACUAGACUGAAACAAACAUGCAUCGCGCAAGGGUUAUAUUUCAACUGUCAAGUAAAGUUGGGAACAACGAACGGUUCGCAUCAUGGCUCCUAAACAAACCACAGACAACUGCGGGGUCAGUAGUCGGAUAUAGGCACAAAAGCUCGGCGGCUGCUGAACCCUUCCUCAAUGGCUCCAGCUCAGCAUACGUGGAGACCAUGUACAACUCAUGGCUCGCAGACUCCAGCUCUGUACAUGCGGUAAGUGUCAAUAUUUAAGUUAUUAACUUAUUAUU